UACGUAGGCGCAAGCGUUAUCCGGAAUUAUUGGCGUAAAGAGCUCGUAGGCGGUUUGUCGCGUCUGCCGUGAAAGUCCGGGCUCAACUCCGGAUCUGCGGUGGGUACGGGCAGACUAGAGUGAUGUAGGGGAGACUGGAAUUCCUGGUGUAGCGGUGAAAUGCGCAGAUAUCAGGAGGAACACCGAUGGCGAAGGCAGGUCUCUGGGCAUUAACUGACGCUGAGGAGCGAAAGCAUGGGGAGCGAAACAGG
Molecule: ribosomal RNA, 251 nt
Filed under: uncultured bacterium
Lineage: Bacteria
Description: partial 16S ribosomal RNA
Rfam family: Bacterial small subunit ribosomal RNA
Source: RNAcentral